GUCGAACGCUGGCGGCGUGCUUAACACAUGCAAGUCGAACGGUGAAGGGGUCUGCUUUUGUGGGCCCUGGAUGAGUGGCGAACGGGUGAGUAACACGUGAGUAACCUGCCCCCUUCUUCUGGAGAACCGCAUGAAAGUGUGGCUAAUACGGGAUAUUCUGGGUCUGUCGCAUGAUGGGUCUGGGAAAGAUUGCGCCUUUGGGUGUUUUUGGUGGGGGAUGGGCUCGCGGCCUAUCAGCUUGUUGGUGGGGUGAUGGCCUACCAAGGCGGUGACGGGUAGCCGGCCUGAGAGGGUGGACGGUCACACUGGGACUGAGACACGGCCCAGACUCCUACGGGAGGCAGCAGUGGGGAAUAUUGCACAAUGGGCGCAAGCCUGAUGCAGCGACGCCGCGUGAGGGAUGGAGGCCUUCGGGUUGUAAACCUCUUUCGCCAGUGAAGCAGGCCUGCUCCUUGUGGGUGGGUUGACGGUAGCUGGAUAAGAAGCGCCGGCUAACUACGUG
Molecule: ribosomal RNA, 502 nt
Filed under: uncultured bacterium
Lineage: Bacteria
Description: partial 16S ribosomal RNA
Rfam family: Bacterial small subunit ribosomal RNA
Source: RNAcentral